GAUGAAGAACGCAGCGAAAUGCGAUACGUAAUGUGAAUUACAGAAUUCAGUGAAUCAUCGAAUCUUUGAACGCACAUUGCGCCUGCCAGCACUCUGGCAGGCAUGCCUGUUCGAGCGUCAUUUCAACCAUCAAGCCCUAGGCUUGCGUUGGAGCCCUGCGGCUGCCGCAGGCCCCUAAAAGCAGUGGCGGGCUCGCUAUCACACCGAGUGCAGUAGAUUACUCUUCGCUCAGGGCGUGUGGCGGGUUCCAGCCGUGAAACCCCCUACUUCUCAAGGUUGACCUCGGAUCAGGUAGGAAUACCCGCUGAACUUAAGCAUAUCAAUAAGCGGAGGA
This 334-nucleotide unclassified non-coding RNA is filed under the name soil metagenome. Its description in RNAcentral is "partial contains 5.8S ribosomal RNA, internal transcribed spacer 2, and large subunit ribosomal RNA". The stretch from base 1 to 120 matches the Rfam family "5.8S ribosomal RNA", at positions 35 to 154 of the family's 154-position model. The record is from RNAcentral.